GGUAUCUGCUCCUCUCCUCUUGGACUGGAGGAUGGGAGAAUUCAUUACGGUCAGCUCACCUCGUCCUCCCAUCGUGAGAACAACCCUGCCGAUGCCGGGCGGCUGAAUAUAGUCCCAAACAUCCAGGUGAUGGAGCCCGGUUGGAGCCCGUUACCUACAGACCCUCAGCCGUAUUUUCAGGUGGAUUUCUUGGAGCCCAUGUGGGUGUCAGGCGUGGUGACACAGGGCACUGAGCGAAUGUGGGGUUACCUCACCAAAUACCGCCUGGCAUUUGCCCUGCACAGCAGCCUUUUCACAGACUUUACUGAGAAUGGGAAGCCUGAUGGCCCCGCUAAGGUGUUUGAGGUACGGAUGGUGGGCAGGACCCCUGUGACCCGCUGGCUCGGUCGGCUGGUCAGAGCUCGCUACGUGCGCAUCAUGACUACAGAGUACAGGCACACGUUUU
This is a long non-coding RNA of Oreochromis aureus, 445 nucleotides long. Lineage: Eukaryota; Metazoa; Chordata; Actinopteri; Cichliformes; Cichlidae. The record is from Ensembl.